This 69-nucleotide transfer RNA is filed under the name Solenaia carinata. RNAcentral describes it as "tRNA-Gln". Lineage: Eukaryota; Metazoa; Mollusca; Bivalvia; Unionida; Unionidae. The record is from RNAcentral.
UGGGGGCUAGUGUAAAUGUGCACAUGUAAAUUUGGAUUACAGGGAGGAAGCAGCUACAUCCGCCCACAA